UGGAUGACUAGUUCAUUUUGCAUUUCGGAUUGUUAUUUUUAUUGGAUGCGUAACCUAGUUCAGGAUUUUGGUACCCUGGAAUAACUCAAUCCCAUGAUGUGAGUGCAUUGAGGCAGAAAGAAAUCAAGGGAAAUGCUAUGAACAGCAGCAUCGUGCAGCUGUGGAGAUGAUGGUCGAAUUCAGGGAGGUGGAAGGAAAUUCUAGACUCAGAGGUGCCUGUGCCCAUGCAAGGUAAUCUCAAUCAAAACUUACAACAAUAAUGAUAGGAGAGCUGGGAAGAAUUCCUAAGCAGGCAGUUGGAGCUUGCUGUUGCUAAAGAAAAUGAAGCAAUUGCUACAGAAUCUCGACAGAUAGUUGAGGCAAGGAAGAACUAUGCUGAAGAGGAGGAGGAGGUGAAGCUAUUAAAGAAGUCUGUGGAAGAGCUAGAAUAUACUGUAAAUGUAUUGGAAAACAAGGUGGAGAUUGUCAAAGGAGAGGCUGAAAGGCCACAGUUGCAGAGAGAGGAGCUAGAAGGGGACCUUAUUGAAACAGUUCAUGUGCUGAUUGUUGAUAUUGUGCAUGGAUAUAAUUACUUUUGAAAACUUUAAAUAUGAACUUUAAACAGUUCAUAUGAUUAGUUUUGGAAAAUUGAUAUUGUGCAUGGAUAUAAUUGUUUUGUUGAUAUUGUGUUGAUUGUUGUCUUGAUGAAUGUUAAAUGGGUGAAAUA
This is a long non-coding RNA of Magnolia sinica, 706 nucleotides long. RefSeq lists it as uncharacterized. The transcript is spliced from 6 exons. The record is from RefSeq and is a predicted model, not a curated record. Lineage: Eukaryota; Viridiplantae; Streptophyta; Magnoliopsida; Magnoliales; Magnoliaceae.